Zingiber officinale is the source of this 1670-nucleotide long non-coding RNA. RefSeq lists it as uncharacterized. The transcript is spliced from 2 exons. Lineage: Eukaryota; Viridiplantae; Streptophyta; Magnoliopsida; Zingiberales; Zingiberaceae. The record is from RefSeq and is a predicted model, not a curated record.
AGGGUUAAUAGGUCUGCUGCAGCAUGGCGCAAAUCUUGGUUAGGGUUUCAACCUUUCCUCUAUAAAUAACGUGAUCUCCUUCAAUCUUCUUCACUGAUAGAUUAGGGUUUUUGAUAUCGGCGGCGAAAUAUCUGCUUUUCGUGACGAUGCCGCAGCUUCGACGUUCGUCUCUUCCCUUGUUCUUGUUUCAUUUAUUGUGAUAUUUUUAUUUCCGAGGAUUCCUGUCUGUUGCAUGUAUCGGUAAACGAAGUGCGUUUAUUCCUUGCAAAGAAAAGUUUCGGUUUUAAAAUUUGUUUUUGGCUCAUCCUUCGGAGUCUAGGUGUGUAGGGGAUAAAAGGAAUGCUGCACGGUGCACCCCGGGCUUCUCUGAGACAUUCCGUGAAGGUGGAAGCCCCAAUGCUCGUGCUACAUUUAACUGCCGUUCAGUGUUGCAGUUCUGUCGAUUUUUCUACAUCUGAUCUGUGUCAAUGUAACGGCUAAAUCUAUCAAUUUCUGAUCUUUCAAGAAGCCUGUGAUGAAACAUCCAAAUUAUGGAGGUGCAGAGGGCUCCAAGUCCCUGUUUUGCAGGGUGAACCUCUUGUAGCUGCUGCAUUCAGAUGACAUUUCUGGAUUUUCUGAGGCUUUUUAUUUCGAGUAACUAUUGUUAUUUUGCUUGUGCAAUUAAAUAGUUCUGAGUGUUCGUUUAUAUUCAUGAUAGGCUUUGUUGUUUUGUUAAUUGCAUUCUGAACAACAUCUAACUUUUAAUAUACUCACUUGGAUUUGCAGAUUUAAAAUUAUAAUUUAUUUGUGUUAAAUGAGAUGCCUGUGAUGACACAUCCAAAUUAUGGAGGUGCAGAUGGCUCCAAGUCCCUGUUUUGCAGGGUGAACCUCUUGUAGCUGCUGCAUUCAGAUGACAUUUCUGGAUUUUCUGAGGCUUUUUAUUUCGAUUAACUAUUGUUAUUUUGCUUGUGCAAUUAAAUAGUUCUGAGUAUUCGUUUAUAUUCAUAAUAGGCUUUGUUGUUUUUUUAAUUGCAUUCUGAACAUCAUCUAACUUUUAAUAUACUCACUUGGAUUUGCAGAUUUAAAAUUAUAAUUUAUUUGUGUUAAAUGAGAUGCCUGUGAUGACACAUCCAAAUUAUGGAGGUGCAGAUGGCUCCAAGUCCCUGUUUUGCAGGGUACAAUUUUUGGUAACUGAGUGCAAGCAUUUUAUCUUGUGCCAAGGAUGAUUUGUCUGCAAAAUGGAUGUGCUGUGGAACCAAGUCUCUGGUACCAGGAGAACCUAUUUGGGAAAACAACAUUUAAUAUGACAUAAGCGUACAUUUCUGAGGCGCAAAUUUGAAUUUUUUUUAUUUCUAUUUUUCUUUUUACAGUUUUGCUGAAAACACUGAGGGUUGUCUAUUUAAUUGUUUGUAUUCCAUUGAAAUUUGUUCGAUUGCGUUUUUCCAAAUUUUCCAUUAAUAAGCUUGACGUACCAGAGUUCUUACUAUCCAUCUGUUGCUCCUGAUCUUUAGUACUGAUGGCUGAAAAACUCUCAAAUGCUGUGUUGCCAUCAGCUUGAGCUCAUGAUUUUAUGGGCUGCGAGUUAAAUUACAACACUACAUUUUUUCUUCAUUGUAAUUUUGAUUUUGUAUGCCAUUGAACUAAUAAAUAUUGUAAGAACUCAGUGAUUUGUCUAUUUCCUUUUAUUGUAA